Molecule: ribosomal RNA, 466 nt
Filed under: uncultured bacterium
Lineage: Bacteria
Description: partial 16S ribosomal RNA
Rfam family: Bacterial small subunit ribosomal RNA
Source: RNAcentral
GAUGAACGCUGGCGGCGUGCUUAACACAUGCAAGUCGAACGAUGAAGCCCAGCUUGCUGGGUGGAUUAGUGGCGAGCGGGUGAGUAACACGUGAGUAACCUGCCCUUAACUCUGGGAUAAGCCUGGGAAACUGGGUCUAAUACCGGAUAGGAGCGUCCACCGCAUGGUGGGUGUUGGAAAGAUUUAUCGGUUUUGGAUGGACUCGCGGUCUAUCAGCUUGUUGGUGAGGUAAUGGCUCACCAAGGCGACGACGGGUAGCCGGCCUGAGAGGGUGACCGGCCACACUGGGACUGAGACACGGCCCAGACUCCUACGGGAGGCAGCAGUGGGGAAUAUUGCACAAUGGGCGCAAGCCUGAUGCAGCGACGCCGCGUGAGGGAUGACGGCCUUCGGGUUGUAAACCUCUUUCAGUAGGGAAGAAGCGAAAGUGACGGUACCUGCAGAAGAAGCACCGGCUAACUACGUG